RNAcentral lists this unclassified non-coding RNA (248 nucleotides) under uncultured Schizothecium. RNAcentral describes it as "sequence contains ITS2". The stretch from base 1 to 52 matches the Rfam family "5.8S ribosomal RNA", at positions 103 to 154 of the family's 154-position model. Lineage: Eukaryota; Fungi; Ascomycota; Sordariomycetes; Sordariales; Lasiosphaeriaceae. The record is from RNAcentral.
AACGCACAUUGCGCCCGCCAGUAUUCUGGCGGGCAUGCCUGUUCGAGCGUCAUUUCAACCAUCAAGCGCCUGCGCUUGUGUUGGAGCCCUGCGGCUGCCGCAGGCUCCCAAACCCAGUGGCGGGCUCGUCGUCGUACCGAGUGCAGUAAAUUUACCACGCUCAGGGCGCGCGACGGGUAACCGGCCGUAAAACCCCCCAACUUAUCAAGGUUGACCUCGGAUCAGGUAGGAAUACCCGCUGAACUUAA